CCCCCCACCCGUCUGGGGCCGAAUCCACGCUGGGAACCCCGAGCAGCCCCCCCAGGUCCAUCCUUGGCCCCAAAAUCAGCAGGAGGAGCUGCCCCAACACCUGGUGGGUCACCCAGCCCACAGCAGCACCUCCAGGAGGACACAGGAGCCCCGGGGAACACCGGGAGGUGACACAGGGACCCCGGGCACACAGAGGUGACACAGGGACCCCGGGCACACAGAGGUGACACAGGAACCCCGGGCACAGCAGGAGGUGACACAGGGACCUCAGGCACACAGAGGUGACACAGGAACCCCGGGCACAGCAGGAGGUGACACAGGGACCCCGGGAGCAGCAGGAGGUGACACAGGGACCCCGGGCACAGCAGGAGGUGACACAGGGACCCCGGGCACACCACACAGAGGUGACACAGGAACCCCGGGCACACAGAGGUGACACAGGAACCCAGGGCACAGAAGGAGGUGACACAGGAACCCCGGGCACAGCACACAGAGGUGACACAGGGACCCCGGGCACAGAGGUGACACAGGGACCCCGGGCACAGCAGGAGGUGACACAGGAACCCCGGGCACAGCAGGAGGUGACACAGGGACCCCGGGCACAGCACACAGAGGUGACACAGGGACCCCAGGCACAGCACACAGAGGUGACACAGGAGCCCGGGGAACAGAGGUGACACAGGGACCCCGGGCGCACAGAGGUGACACAGGAACCCCGGGCACACAGAGGUGACACAGGAACCCCGGAGCAGCAGGAGGUGACACAGGGACCCCGGGCACACAGAGGUGACACAGGGACCCCGGGCACACAGAGGUGACACAGGAACCCCGGGCACAGCAGGAGGUGACACAGGGACCCGGGAGCAGCAGGAGGUGACACAGGGACCCCGGGCACACAGAGGUGACACAGGAACCCCGGGCACAGCAGGAGGUGACACAGGGACCCCGGGAGCAGCAGGAGGUGACACAGGGACCCCGGGAGCAGCAGGAGGUGACACAGGGACCCCGGGCACACAGAGGUGACACAGGAACCCCGGGCACAGCAGGAGGUGACACAGGGACCCCGGGCACAGCACACAGAGGUGACACAGGGAC
Molecule: long non-coding RNA, 1095 nt
Organism: Poecile atricapillus (Black-capped chickadee)
Lineage: Eukaryota; Metazoa; Chordata; Aves; Passeriformes; Paridae
Exons: 3
Source: RefSeq, a predicted model, not a curated record